This 394-nucleotide ribosomal RNA is filed under the name uncultured bacterium. RNAcentral describes it as "partial 16S ribosomal RNA". It matches the Rfam family "Bacterial small subunit ribosomal RNA", at positions 523 to 918 of the family's 1533-position model. The record is from RNAcentral.
AUACAUAGGGUACGAGCGUUGUCCGGAAUUACUGGGCGUAAAGGGCGCGCAGGCGGAUAUUUAAGUCAGCUGUAAAAGGCCUGAGCUCAACUCAUGUAUGCGGUUGAAACUGUGUAUCUAGUGUUCUGGCAGGGUAGGCGGAAUUCCCGGUGUAGCGGUGCAAUGCGUAGUUAUCGGGAAGAACACCAGUGGCGAAGACGGCUUACUGGCCAGCAACUGACGCUGAGGCGCGAAAGCCAGGGGAGCGAACGGGAUUAGAUACCCCGGUAGUCCUGGCCGUAAACGAUGAAUGCUAGGUGUGGGUGUCGAGAGGCAUCCGUGCCGGAGUUAACGCGAUAAGCAUUCCGCCUGGGGAGUACGAUCGCAAGAAUGAAACUCAAAGGAAUUGGCGGGG